Molecule: long non-coding RNA, 292 nt
Organism: Saccostrea cuccullata (small rock oyster)
Lineage: Eukaryota; Metazoa; Mollusca; Bivalvia; Ostreida; Ostreidae
Exons: 3
Source: RefSeq, a predicted model, not a curated record
AGCCAUUGGUCAAUAUUUCCCGCCAAAACCUUUGACCCCCUUUGUCCAGUGUGUCUAGCUAAUUACUAGCCAAGGAGCAGUCAAUGUGUAUAGUUGUGUUUUUGUAUUUUUUGGAGAAAUCUUUAAGACCACUGACAAUAUUGAUAAUCCAUAUAAGCCAUACACACAAAUCAGUAUUAGAGAGGGAUUCAUACCCAUAGUCUGAAUCUGCUUUAUGAUGAUGCAUUUGGUAUUUAUGCAACUGUAAUAAACAUCAUCACAGUGAAACAUCUUGUUUUCAAUUGCUGCUCCC